GAUGAACGCUGGCGGCGUGCCUAAUACAUGCAAGUCGAGCGAACGGACGAGAAGCUUGCUUCUCUGAUGUUAGCGGCGGACGGGUGAGUAACACGUGGAUAACCUACCUAUAAGACUGGGAUAACUUCGGGAAACCGGAGCUAAUACCGGAUGAUAUUUUGAACCGCAUGGUUCAAAAGUGAAAGACGGUCUUGCUGUCCCUUAUAGAUGGAUCCGCGCUGCAUUAGCUAGUUGGUAAGGUAACGGCUUACCAAGGCAACGAUGCAUAGCCGACCUGAGAGGGUGAUCGGCCACACUGGAACUGAGACACGGUCCAGACUCCUACGGGAGGCAGCAGUAGGGAAUCUUCCGCAAUGGGCGAAAGCCUGACGGAGCAACGCCGCGUGUGUGAUGAAGGUCUUCGGAUCGUAAAACUCUGUUAUUAGGGAAGAACAUAUGUGUAAGUAACUGUGCACAUCUUGACGGUACCUAAUCAGAAAGCCACGGCUAACUACGUG
This 497-nucleotide ribosomal RNA is filed under the name uncultured bacterium. Its description in RNAcentral is "partial 16S ribosomal RNA". It matches the Rfam family "Bacterial small subunit ribosomal RNA", at positions 28 to 507 of the family's 1533-position model. The record is from RNAcentral.